Molecule: long non-coding RNA, 280 nt
Filed under: Prunus persica (peach)
Lineage: Eukaryota; Viridiplantae; Streptophyta; Magnoliopsida; Rosales; Rosaceae
Description: long non-coding RNA (PPER_LNC006385)
Source: RNAcentral
UUUUACCUUGGUUGAAGAAAUAUGAGCUAAAAGUGCAUUAUUGAAUAUAAAUUUUAGUUUUGCUUAUUUUCGUAGUUCAACUUCUUAGCUUUGGAUCACCAUGUUUCGGUGCUGGGAUGCUGUAAAGGUCUUCAUAAAUUUGUUCCAAUGGGUGUUGACUACAAUAUAUCCAAAAUUUAGCGCCAUUGAACAAGUAUAGCCUAGCCAAACGAUCCAUCAUUUUAUCCUAACUCUGUAAGUCUGUUUUGAGUCACUUUUACCCCCCUUUGGUAUCAUCUCC